Molecule: ribosomal RNA, 163 nt
Filed under: Leontodon maroccanus
Lineage: Eukaryota; Viridiplantae; Streptophyta; Magnoliopsida; Asterales; Asteraceae
Description: 5.8S ribosomal RNA
Rfam family: 5.8S ribosomal RNA
About the family: 5.8S ribosomal RNA (5.8S rRNA) is a component of the large subunit of the eukaryotic ribosome. It is transcribed by RNA polymerase I as part of the 45S precursor that also contains 18S and 28S rRNA.
Source: RNAcentral
AACGACUCUCGGCAACGGAUAUCUCGGCUCACGCAUCGAUGAAGAACGUAGCAAAAUGCGAUACUUGGUGUGAAUUGCAGAAUCCCGUGAACCAUCGAGUUUUUGAACGCAAGUUGCGCCCGAAGCCAUUUGGCCGAGGGCACGCCUGCCUGGGCGUCACGCA